This 486-nucleotide long non-coding RNA is filed under the name Nicotiana benthamiana. Its description in RNAcentral is "long non-coding RNA (NBEN_LNC018822)". The record is from RNAcentral. Lineage: Eukaryota; Viridiplantae; Streptophyta; Magnoliopsida; Solanales; Solanaceae.
UCGUUCCUUCUUUCUUUUUUGAUUCCGCCCCAACCCCAACCCUAAUCAUUUUCUUCGAAACAGCCGCCUCUAAAAUCUCUCAUCUUCUCAAACUCUCUCUAAACCACUCGAAACCCUAGCCACCUAUAUCGUCGUCUCUGACCAGUUCUCACCGGAGUCCAUGGCUUCUCAGGCCAUGGACAACCUGUGCACACUUCUCCUCACCCCAAAUUGUGGGUAUUCAAGGUAUUUAAGGUCUAGCCUUGACCAAGCCUGUUCAGAUCCUUCACCAAUCUGAGAUCCCUUGGCUUCUUUGGCACCGUUCCGACAUGUUCGAGCUUUGACAGGGCUUAGCCAUGGCCCAGACUUGUUCAAAGACCAGAUCGUUGAGAAACCCUAAGUAUCUUGAUUGAGGUUCUAUCUUUCCUUGUUUUCUUAGAUCUGUAACAGAUCUGUGUUCUACUCAAUGUUUUAAUGCUUUUCCCCAACUUUCCUUUUUAAAAAUUA